Molecule: small nuclear RNA, 103 nt
Organism: Lutra lutra (Eurasian river otter)
Lineage: Eukaryota; Metazoa; Chordata; Mammalia; Carnivora; Mustelidae
Source: RefSeq, a predicted model, not a curated record
AAAUAAAUAAAAUCUUAAAAAAAAAAUUGGAACAAUACAGAGAAGGUUAGCACAGUCCCUGCAUAAGGAUAACAUGCAAAUUCAUGAAGUGUUCCAUAUGUUA